AUCUUCUGACAUCAGACUCGGACUUCUCUUGAACUGAAUUUUAAUGUGCGUAUUGUUAUGUGUUUACUUUUCUACAUUGGCUAGAGGUAUAGGGGGAGGGUUGAGAUCUCACAAACAUGUUUAACCCCGCCGCAUUUUUGCGCCUGUCCCAAGUCAGGAGCCUCUGGCCUUUGUUAGUCUUGUAUUAUUUUAAUUUUAGUUUCUUGUGUACAAUUUGGAAAUUAGUAUGGCGUUCAUUAUCACUGAACUAGUAUAUAUUUGUUUAGGGGCCAGCUCAAGGACGCCUCCGGGUGCGGGAAUUUCUCGCUACAUUGAAGACCUGUUGGUGACCUUCUGCUGUUGUUUUUUUCUAUGGUCGGGUUGUUGUCUCUUUGGCACAUUCCCCAUUUCCAUUCUCAAU
RNAcentral lists this long non-coding RNA (400 nucleotides) under Mytilus galloprovincialis (Mediterranean mussel). Lineage: Eukaryota; Metazoa; Mollusca; Bivalvia; Mytilida; Mytilidae. The record is from RNAcentral.